GGUCUGGUGGUGUAGUUGGAAACAUGUCCUCAAAUCAUAGUACGCAAUAACCCUUCAGUUGGAGGAAGUCCCUUGUUUGAAUCAAGGUCAGGCUA
Non-coding RNA from Mycena rebaudengoi, 95 nucleotides. The record is from the annotation of a GenBank genome assembly. NCBI's taxonomy places the organism in Eukaryota, Fungi, Basidiomycota, Agaricomycetes, Agaricales, Mycenaceae.